GGACAGUGCGGCGGUGCUAAUACAUGCAGUAGAACGCUGAAGAGAGGAGCUUGCUCUUCUUGGAUGAGUUGCGAACGGGUGAGUAACGCGUAGGUAACCUGCCUUGUAGCGGGGGAUAACUAUUGGAAACGAUAGCUAAUACCGCAUAACAAUGGAUGACACAUGUCAUUUAUUUGAAAGGGGCAAUUGCUCCACUACAAGAUGGACCUGCGUUGUAUUAGCUAGUAGGUGAGGUAAUGGCUCACCUAGGCGACGAUACAUAGCCGACCUGAGAGGGUGAUCGGCCACACUGGGACUGAGACACGGCCCAGACUCCUACGGGAGGCAGCAGUAGGGAAUCUUCGGCAAUGGGGGCAACCCUGACCGAGCAACGCCGCGUGAGUGAAGAAGGUUUUCGGAUCGUAAAGCUCUGUUGUAAGUCAAGAACGGGUGUGAGAGUGGAAAGUUCACACUGUGACGGUAGCUUACCAGAAAGGGACGGCUAACUACGUGCCAGCAGCCGCGGUAAUACGUAGGUCCCGAGCGUUGUCCGGAUUUAUUGGGCGUAAAGCGAGCGCAGGCGGUUUGAUAAGUCUGAAGUUAAAGGCUGUGGCUCAACCAUAGUUCGCUUUGGAAACUGUCAAACUUGAGUGCAGAAGGGGAGAGUGGAAUUCCAUGUGUAGCGGUGAAAUGCGUAGAUAUAUGGAGGAACACCGGUGGCGAAAGCGGCUCUCUGGUCUGUAACUGACGCUGAGGCUCGAAAGCGUGGGGAGCGAACAGGAUUAGAUACCCUGGUAGUCCACGCCGUAAACGAUGAGUGCUAGGUGUUGGAUCCUUUCCGGGAUUCAGUGCCGCAGCUAACGCAUUAAGCACUCCGCCUGGGGAGUACGACCGCAAGGUUGAAACUCAAAGGAAUUGACGGGGGCCCGCACAAGCGGUGGAGCAUGUGGUUUAAUUCGAAGCAACGCGAAGAACCUUACCAGGUCUUGACAUCCCGAUGCUAUUUCUAGAGAUAGAAAGUUACUUCGGUACAUCGGUGACAGGUGGUGCAUGGUUGUCGUCAGCUCGUGUCGUGAGAUGUUGGGUUAAGUCCCGCAACGAGCGCAACCCCUAUUGUUAGUUGCCAUCAUUCAUUUGGGCACUCUACCGAGACUGCCGGUAUAAACCGGAGGAAAGGGGGGGGAUAACGUCCAAACAUCCAUGGCCCCUUAUAACCUGGGGCUACACC
RNAcentral lists this ribosomal RNA (1207 nucleotides) under Streptococcus thermophilus. Its description in RNAcentral is "bacterial SSU rRNA". It matches the Rfam family "Bacterial small subunit ribosomal RNA", at positions 31 to 1220 of the family's 1533-position model. The record is from RNAcentral. Lineage: Bacteria; Bacillati; Bacillota; Bacilli; Lactobacillales; Streptococcaceae.